GACGAACGCUGGCGGCGUGCUUAACACAUGCAAGUCGAACGGAAAGGCUCCUGCUUGCAGGGGUACUCGAGUGGCGAACGGGUGAGUAACACGUGGGUGAUCUGCCUUGUACUCUGGGAUAAGCUUGGGAAACUGGGUCUAAUACCGGAUAGUAGCCGCCUUUAGUGUGGUGGUUGGAAAGUUUUUUCGGUGCAAGAUGAGCUCGCGGCCUAUCAGCUUGUUGGUGGGGUAAUGGCCUACCAAGGCGUCGACGGGUAGCCGGCCUGAGAGGGUGUACGGCCACAUUGGGACUGAGAUACGGCCCAGACUCCUACGGGAGGCAGCAGUGGGGAAUAUUGCACAAUGGGCGGAAGCCUGAUGCAGCGACGCCGCGUGGGGGAUGACGGCCUUCGGGUUGUAAACUCCUUUCGACAGGGACGAAGCUUUUUGUGACGGUACCUGUAUAAGAAGCACCGGCUAACUACGUGCCAGCAGCCGCGGUAAUACGUAGGGUGCGAGCGUUGUCCGGAAUUACUGGGCGUAAAGAGCUCGUAGGUGGUUUGUCGCGUCGUCUGUGAAAUUCCGGGGCUUAACUCCGGGCGUGCAGGCGAUACGGGCAUAACUUGAGUGCUGUAGGGGAGACUGGAAUUCCUGGUGUAGCGGUGAAAUGCGCAGAUAUCAGGAGGAACACCGAUGGCGAAGGCAGGUCUCUGGGCAGUAACUGACGCUGAGGAGCGAAAGCAUGGGUAGCGAACA
Molecule: ribosomal RNA, 735 nt
Filed under: uncultured Corynebacterium sp. MT12R
Lineage: Bacteria; Bacillati; Actinomycetota; Actinomycetes; Mycobacteriales; Corynebacteriaceae
Description: bacterial SSU rRNA
Rfam family: Bacterial small subunit ribosomal RNA
Source: RNAcentral